GUCUAGGGCCAUAGCACCCAGAACUUGCCGGAACCCGUCUGAUAUUGGCAGCUAAGCAGGGUCGGGCGUGGUUAGUACUUGGAAGGGAGACCGUUCUUGAAUAGCGGGUGCUGUAGGGA
RNAcentral lists this ribosomal RNA (119 nucleotides) under Pteropus alecto (black flying fox). Lineage: Eukaryota; Metazoa; Chordata; Mammalia; Chiroptera; Pteropodidae. The record is from RNAcentral.